Oryzias melastigma (Indian medaka) is the source of this 2188-nucleotide long non-coding RNA. RefSeq lists it as uncharacterized. The transcript has 3 exons. Lineage: Eukaryota; Metazoa; Chordata; Actinopteri; Beloniformes; Adrianichthyidae. The record is from RefSeq and is a predicted model, not a curated record.
UUAGUGAAUGCAACAUUUGUCAAAAAAUCUAUCAUUUUUGCUAAAAUGUUACUCUGUAAAAUAGUUGCUGUUGAUUUUACAAUAAUUUACUGGCAGCGGGAUGCCAGUAAAUUACUGUAAAGACUUUCACAGCUUUAAAAUGAAAUACAGCAUAAUUUCUGUGUUCUGUAUUUCAUUUUACAGUAUAAAGCUAUAAAAUGAAUCACAGUACACACAUAGUUUACAGUAGUUACUGGCAUCCAGCUGCCAGUAGUUAGAACAGUAUUUUUUGCUUCCUUUUACAAUAAUAUUACAGUAUUUUCAUUUUCCAUUAAUUUACUGUAAAAAUAAAUAUGGUAAAUAAAAAUGUAUUCUGGUUUUAUGACAACUUCUUCAGCUGUUUUGAGUGAAGCGCUUUUUGACCUCUUUGCAACCUUAAAGCCAAGGUCAUGUUCACCCCGAGUACGUUCUUAGAUCAAUGCAACCCCAGACAGAGACAUACAGUUAUUUAUUUUACAUCACUGAAGAGUUUUAAGUCAACUUGAAUAAAAUGAACAGAUGUACAGAGAGAAUAUAAAACUCAACACACAAAGGUUCCCACUGGGGCUUGAACUGAGGACCUUUUUCUGAGAGGCGAUAGUGUAAGCACUGCAACACCAUGCCAACACCAAUUUAAUGUACCUAUACUUCCAAUAUUGGUAAAAUUUUGUUUUACUGGAAUUAGUUUCAACAGCAAAUUCAACUAGUGUUUAGUUUUGUUUUAGUCUAAUUCCUAAAAUUAAAAGCUCUACAAUAACUUUUACUCAACUACAUGAUUUUUUUUGAAUGAGAACAAAUAUUUAACUGUCUAUUUCUCAAUGGAAAUUUAUGGGACUUUGGCCUUCUUGCAGCCCGGGGGUACUUCCUAUUUGGAACACAGAAGGGGAGGGGUAGCAGUCUGGUGCAGCCUUCUGGAACUGAACGCUGUUCCUGCUAACUAGCCUGAUGCCAGUUACCUGGUGGAGGCCAUUUACAGUCAGCUCUGCCGCCUUCAUGCAUUGGCUACAAGAAGGCAGGGUUCUGAAGAGCCAUUGGUCCUUGAUCUUGGGGACUAUGUGGUCAUUAAGGAGGCAGUUCUUGGGAACACCCAGGCUGAUGGAUCAGACUGGAUUUCAGGAAGGAAACGCACAGGAGAACUUGGGAAGCUCUCAUCAAGCAGAAGAAGUCGUCCUGAAUCCUGACUCAGAACUGGAUAUUCCCCCGCCCAGGAACUGUACAAACAUGUUAAUAAACCGGAGCGUCGUGAUCUUCUGAUCUUACUUUUGUAUACCCUGUAGAUCAGUCUGACUGCUAGAAACACACAGCAAGCCCCUCGUAUAGUCUUUACAGUCCCUCCCCAUAAAGGGCUUUGCAGGUCAUGGACCUCCCCCAUCACGUGUGCAUAGCUAAACUGCUUAUAAAGCUUGCCAAGAGCAAGAAGUCCUGAGAUUCACUGAGAGCUGUAGUAUGUAGAGGUUUGGAAGUUAUUUCAUACAGAAGUUCCAAUGCUUUAAUCUUUGAUUAUUUUGAUUGGAAAUGAGAAAGACAGAACACUUAUGCUGAAUUAUUCUGCUUCACUGUGCUUUUUUCUAACAACUUUCCUUUUUUUUUUUUCAUUAAACCAUGUAUAAAUCUAACCAUUACCAAAUCUUUACUGUUAACAAAAAAGGCAAUAAACAAGGAUGUUCCUGUAUAUCCAAGAAAAAACCCAUUGACAUCUGAAUUAAUUUUGAAUGCUUUGUAAGCAUUCACACAAUAGUGCUCCUGGUUCUGUUUAUUAUUAUUCCUUAUUUAUUCUUCCGUAUGUUUUCUGAUUCGUAAAUACUCAAUCACACUUUCAGCAAUUUCUGCAAUCUUGGUAUCAAAAUCUUGAGCUAGGUAAGAACAUUCCUGCUUGUACUUUUGGUAUUCAUACAUUUUAUGGUUUAUAAGAUUUUACACAAUUCAUGCGAUUUUUCAGCACCAUUGAAAAUGAAGAGGAAGUUUUUUCAAAUUUCUGCAGUUUCUGGAAUCAAAACAUUCAGUGUGUUCAUGCUUGUACUACUACUUUCACAUUUUUUGACAUUUUAUGCAAUUUUUGAAAUUUUACACCAAUUUUGCAAUUUGUUUUUUAUGUAUUUCUUCAAAUAUUUGAGCACUUUCUGCAAUUUUGGUAUCGAAAUGUUCAGCAUUUUCAGGACAUUCAUGCUUG